This 253-nucleotide ribosomal RNA is filed under the name uncultured bacterium. RNAcentral describes it as "partial 16S ribosomal RNA". It matches the Rfam family "Bacterial small subunit ribosomal RNA", at positions 524 to 776 of the family's 1533-position model. The record is from RNAcentral.
UACGUAGGGUGCAAGCGUUGUCCGGAAUUAUUGGGCGUAAAGAGCUCGUAGGCGGUCUGUCGCGUCUGCUGUGAAAACUCGGGGCUUAACCCCGAGCCUGCAGUGGAUACGGGCAGACUAGAGGUAGGUAGGGGAGAAUGGAAUUCCCGGUGUAGCGGUGAAAUGCGCAGAUAUCGGGAGGAACACCGGUGGCGAAGGCGGCGACCUGGUUCGAUACUGACACUGAGGUGCGAAAGCGUGGGGAGCAAACAGG